Molecule: long non-coding RNA, 296 nt
Filed under: Malus domestica (apple)
Lineage: Eukaryota; Viridiplantae; Streptophyta; Magnoliopsida; Rosales; Rosaceae
Description: long non-coding RNA (MDOM_LNC002288)
Source: RNAcentral
ACAGUGCUAAUGAAGGAUGCUAUUAACCCUACAUUAAUGCAGACUCUUGAGGGAACCCCAGUUCUUGUUCAUGCUGGUCCUUUUGCAAACAUUGCGCACGGGAAUUCCUCUAUUGUGGCCGAUAAGAUUGCACUGAAACUGGUAGGACCAGGUGGGUUUGUAGUCACAGAAGCUGGUUUUGGUGCUGAUAUUGGUACUGAGAAGUUCAUGAACAUAAAAUGCAGAUAUAGUGGUUUAACACCACAAUGUGCAGUUAUAGUUGCAACUAUAAGGGCCUUGAAAAUGCAUGGUGGGGG